This 1046-nucleotide ribosomal RNA is filed under the name Bacillus safensis. RNAcentral's name for it is "bacterial SSU rRNA". It matches the Rfam family "Bacterial small subunit ribosomal RNA", at positions 56 to 1085 of the family's 1533-position model. The record is from RNAcentral. Lineage: Bacteria; Bacillati; Bacillota; Bacilli; Caryophanales; Bacillaceae.
UGCAGUCGAGCGGACAGAAGGGAGCUUGCUCCCGGAUGUUAGCGGCGGACGGGUGAGUAACACGUGGGUAACCUGCCUGUAAGACUGGGAUAACUCCGGGAAACCGGAGCUAAUACCGGAUAGUUCCUUGAACCGCAUGGUUCAAGGAUGAAAGACGGUUUCGGCUGUCACUUACAGAUGGACCCGCGGCGCAUUAGCUAGUUGGUGGGGUAAUGGCUCACCAAGGCGACGAUGCGUAGCCGACCUGAGAGGGUGAUCGGCCACACUGGGACUGAGACACGGCCCAGACUCCUACGGGAGGCAGCAGUAGGGAAUCUUCCGCAAUGGACGAAAGUCUGACGGAGCAACGCCGCGUGAGUGAUGAAGGUUUUCGGAUCGUAAAGCUCUGUUGUUAGGGAAGAACAAGUGCGAGAGUAACUGCUCGCACCUUGACGGUACCUAACCAGAAAGCCACGGCUAACUACGUGCCAGCAGCCGCGGUAAUACGUAGGUGGCAAGCGUUGUCCGGAAUUAUUGGGCGUAAAGGGCUCGCAGGCGGUUUCUUAAGUCUGAUGUGAAAGCCCCCGGCUCAACCGGGGAGGGUCAUUGGAAACUGGGAAACUUGAGUGCAGAAGAGGAGAGUGGAAUUCCACGUGUAGCGGUGAAAUGCGUAGAGAUGUGGAGGAACACCAGUGGCGAAGGCGACUCUCUGGUCUGUAACUGACGCUGAGGAGCGAAAGCGUGGGGAGCGAACAGGAUUAGAUACCCUGGUAGUCCACGCCGUAAACGAUGAGUGCUAAGUGUUAGGGGGUUUCCGCCCCUUAGUGCUGCAGCUAACGCAUUAAGCACUCCGCCUGGGGAGUACGGUCGCAAGACUGAAACUCAAAGGAAUUGACGGGGGCCCGCACAAGCGGUGGAGCAUGUGGUUUAAUUCGAAGCAACGCGAAGAACCUUACCAGGUCUUGACAUCCUCUGACAACCCUAGAGAUAGGGCUUUCCCUUCGGGGACAGAAUGACAGGUGGUGCAUGGUUGUCGUCAGCUCGGGUCGGGAGAUGUUGGGUUAAGU